AGUGGGGAAUAUUGCGCAAUGGCCGCAAGGCUGACGCAGCGACGCCGCGUGGGGGAUGAAGCAUUUCGGUGUGUAAACCCCUGUUGCUCGGGACGAACAACGAGUUUCGACUCGUCUGACGGUACCGGGUGAGGAAGCACCGGCUAACUCCGUGCCAGCAGCCGCGGUAAUACGGAGGGUGCGAGCGUUGUCCGGAAUCACUGGGCGUAAAGGGCGCGUAGGCGGUCUGCUAAGCGUGCGGUGAAAGCCUGGGGCUCAACCCCAGGUCUGCCGUGCGAACUGGUGGACUUGAGCACUGUAGAGGCAGGUGGAAUUCCGGGUGUAGCGGUGGAAUGCGUAGAGAUCCGGAAGAACACCGGUGGCGAAGGCGGCCUGCUGGGCAGUAGCUGACGCUGAGGCGCGACAGCGUGGGGAGCAAA
RNAcentral lists this ribosomal RNA (419 nucleotides) under uncultured Gemmatimonas sp. RNAcentral describes it as "bacterial SSU rRNA". It matches the Rfam family "Bacterial small subunit ribosomal RNA", at positions 353 to 772 of the family's 1533-position model. The record is from RNAcentral. Lineage: Bacteria; Pseudomonadati; Gemmatimonadota; Gemmatimonadia; Gemmatimonadales; Gemmatimonadaceae.